Molecule: ribosomal RNA, 420 nt
Filed under: uncultured bacterium
Lineage: Bacteria
Description: bacterial SSU rRNA
Rfam family: Bacterial small subunit ribosomal RNA
Source: RNAcentral
GAGGAAUAUUGGUCAAUGGGCGCAAGCCUGAACCAGCCAUGCCGCGUGCAGGAAGACGGUCCUAUGGAUUGUAAACUGCUUUUAUACAGGAAGAAACAACUCUACGUGUAGAGUCUUGACGGUACUGUAGGAAUAAGGAUCGGCUAACUCCGUGCCAGCAGCCGCGGUAAUACGGAGGAUCCAAGCGUUAUCCGGAAUCAUUGGGUUUAAAGGGUCCGUAGGCGGUCUUAUAAGUCAGUGGUGAAAUCCCAUCGCUCAACGAUGGAACUGCCAUUGAUACUGUAAGACUUGAAUGCUUAGGAAGUAACUAGAAUAUGUAGUGUAGCGGUGAAAUGCUUAGAUAUUACAUGGAAUACCAAUUGCGAAGGCAGGUUACUACUAAGUGAUUGACGCUGAUGGACGAAAGCGUGGGGAUCGAAC